RNAcentral lists this long non-coding RNA (284 nucleotides) under Cavia porcellus (domestic guinea pig). RNAcentral describes it as "lncRNA (ENSCPOG00000038504.1)". The record is from RNAcentral. Lineage: Eukaryota; Metazoa; Chordata; Mammalia; Rodentia; Caviidae.
UUUCGGUUCGCGCAGGCGCAUUUUCCAGCGGCGGUGGCCGGGCGGCUCUUUGUGGCGGCCGCUGUUCUUUUGUAGACGGUGUAUUGCUUUUUCGUCUGUUUGCCCGAUCGUUUUUUUGGGCUCUCCAUCCGCCCGGGACCUGUGCCUGGUCCCUGCGUGUGUGUCGCCGGGACGCCGCAGAAGUGUGUGACGGGGUGACGCGGCGCGUGUGUGAAAAGGACGCGGCGCCCGAUGUGGGCCGCUGUCCCCGAGCCCUUGAAGCAGACCUCGCACCUAGGGACUGA